UGGUUUGUCGCGUUGUUCGUGAAAUCUCACGGCUUAACUGUGAGCGUGCGGGCGAUACGGGCAGACUUGAGUACUGCAGGGGAGACUGGAAUUCCUGGUGUAGCGGUGGAAUGCGCAGAUAUCAGGAGGAACACCGGUGGCGAAGGCGGGUCUCUGGGCAGUAACUGACGCUGAGGAGCGAAAGUGUGGGGAGCGAACAGGAUUAGAUACCCUGGUAGUCCACGCCGUAAACGGUGGGUACUAGGUGUGGGUUUCCUUCCUUGGGAUCCGUGCCGUAGCUAACGCAUUAAGUACCCCGCCUGGGGAGUACGGCCGCAAGGCUAAAACUCAAAGAAAUUGACGGGGGCCCGCACAAGCGGCGGAGCAUGUGGAUUAAUUCGAUGCAACGCGAAGAACCUUACCUGGGUUUGACAUGCACAGGACGCCGGCAGAGAUGUCGGUUCCCUUGUGGCCUGUGUGCAGGUGGUGCAUGGCUGUCGUCAGCUCGUGUCGUGAGAUGUUGGGUUAAGUCCCGCAACGAGCGCAACCCUUGUCUCAUGUUGCCAGCGGGUAAUGCCGGGGACUCGUGAGAGACUGCCGGGGUCAACUCGGAGGAAGGUGGGGAUGACGUCAAGUCAUCAUGCCCCUUAUGUCCAGGGCUUCACACAUGCUACAAUGGCCGGUACAAAGGGCUGCGAUGCCGCGAGGUUAAGCGAAUCCUUUUAAAGCCGGUCUCAGUUCGGAUCGGGGUCUGCAACUCGACCCCGUGAAGUC
This 753-nucleotide ribosomal RNA is filed under the name uncultured bacterium. RNAcentral describes it as "bacterial SSU rRNA". It matches the Rfam family "Bacterial small subunit ribosomal RNA", at positions 576 to 1327 of the family's 1533-position model. The record is from RNAcentral.